UACGUAGGGACCAAGCGUUGUUCGGAUUUACUGGGCGUAAAGGGCGCGUAGGCGGCUUGUCAAGUCACUUGUGAAAUCUCUGGGCUUAACCCAGAACGGCCAAGUGAAACUGACAUGCUAGAGUGCAGAAGGGGCAAUCGGAAUUCUUGGUGUAGCGGUGAAAUGCGUAGAUAUCAAGAGGAACACCUGAGGUGAAGACGGGUUGCUGGGCUGACACUGACGCUGAGACGCGAAAGCCAGGGGAGCAAACGGG
Molecule: ribosomal RNA, 253 nt
Filed under: uncultured bacterium
Lineage: Bacteria
Description: partial 16S ribosomal RNA
Rfam family: Bacterial small subunit ribosomal RNA
Source: RNAcentral